RNAcentral lists this ribosomal RNA (261 nucleotides) under uncultured prokaryote. RNAcentral's name for it is "partial 16S ribosomal RNA". It matches the Rfam family "Bacterial small subunit ribosomal RNA", at positions 524 to 784 of the family's 1533-position model. The record is from RNAcentral.
UACGUAGGUGGCGAGCGUUGUCCGGAUCUACUGGGCGUAAAGGGAGCGUAGGCGGACUUUUAAGUGAGAUGUGAAAUACCCGGGCUCAACUUGGGUGCUGCAUUUCAAACUGGAAGUCUAGAGUGCAGGAGAGGAGAAUGGAAUUCCUAGUGUAGCGGUGAAAUGCGUAGAUAUUAGGAGGAACACCAGUAGCGAAGGCGGCUCUCUGGACUGUAACUGACGCUGAGGCACGAAAGCGUGGGGAGCAAACAGGAUUAGAUA